CCUACGGGAGGCAGCAGUGAGGAAUCUUUCACAAUGGGGGCAACCCUGAUGGAGCAAUGCCGCGUGCAGGAAGACGCUUUUCGGAGUGUAAACUGCUUUUAUUACCGAAGAUUAUGACGGUAGGUAAAGAAUAAGGACCGGCUAACUACGUG
Molecule: ribosomal RNA, 152 nt
Filed under: uncultured bacterium
Lineage: Bacteria
Description: partial 16S ribosomal RNA
Rfam family: Bacterial small subunit ribosomal RNA
Source: RNAcentral